GACGAACGCUGGCGGCGUGCCUAAUACAUGCAAGUCGAACGCACAGUUUAUACCGUAGCUUGCUACACCAUAAACUGUGAGUUGCGAACGGGUGAGUAACGCGUAGGUAACCUGCCUGGUAGCGGGGGAUAACUAUUGGAAACGAUAGCUAAUACCGCAUAAUAUUAAUUAUUGCAUGAUAAUUGAUUGAAAGAUGCAAUUGCAUCACUACCAGAUGGACCUGCGUUGUAUUAGCUAGUAGGUGAGGUAACGGCUCACCUAGGCGACGAUACAUAGCCGACCUGAGAGGGUGAUCGGCCACACUGGGACUGAGACACGGCCCAGACUCCUACGGGAGGCAGCAGUAGGGAAUCUUCGGCAAUGGACGAAAGUCUGACCGAGCAACGCCGCGUGAGUGAAGAAGGUUUUCGGAUCGUAAAGCUCUGUUGUAAGAGAAGAACGGGUGUGAGAGUGGAAAGUUCACACUGUGACGGUAUCUUACCAGAAAGGGACGGCUAACUACGUG
Molecule: ribosomal RNA, 505 nt
Filed under: uncultured bacterium
Lineage: Bacteria
Description: partial 16S ribosomal RNA
Rfam family: Bacterial small subunit ribosomal RNA
Source: RNAcentral